This 1104-nucleotide long non-coding RNA is filed under the name Chloebia gouldiae (Gouldian finch). RNAcentral describes it as "Erythrura gouldiae (Gouldian finch) lncRNA (ENSEGOG00005002636.1)". Lineage: Eukaryota; Metazoa; Chordata; Aves; Passeriformes; Passeridae. The record is from RNAcentral.
GGUUUCCCGUGCCAAAGGGAGCGAGGCGCCGGGCGGAGCAGCACGGCAGGUUGUGGGGUCGCCCCUGUGGGACUGAAAUCGGUCGGGGGCCGGUCUCACCGGAGCAGAACCCGGGCGGGGCUGGACUGGCACUGGGAGCCUCCAAUAGGGGCGAGGGGGGCCGCUCCGCGGGGCGCCGCCAUCGCCACUCGGCGCUCCGGUGCGGCGGCCCGGCGGACGGCCCGGCGGGGCCGCGGCAGCAGCGCUGCGGCAGCCCGAGGACAGAGCGGAGAGGACAGGAGGGCAGCGAGUGUGCUGGAGUUUUGGCUAGAAUAAAAUACGGAUUUCUCCACAGAGGAAGCUCUCUGGUCUGCGACUCAUGUUAUUGGAAUCCUUUUAUGACCUUUGACGCGUUUAAAUAACACGGUAAAACUGUGCACACACCUCGGAUUGAACUUUAAUCAUCCCAAGUCAAGGACAUCCAGGUGGUAAAUUACUUUAUUUUGACAUUUCUGCUUUAGAACAGUAUGUUCUGUGAUCCCAGUCGUAGGUCACAGAGACGUUUCUAGUUUUCUCAUCCUUAAAAGAGCAAAUAUACUUUAUCUACAGAUAUAAGAAAUUAGUCUCUCCUGUUACCUUAUUAAAAAAAAAAAAAAAAAAGAAAACCAGACACCAAAAUCAAGUCUCCUGGGAUUCUAGUUCUAUCGGGCACCUCCAGACUUCGCAUAGGACUGAAAAAAUGUUCCUUGCUGUUAAGCACCACUUCACCUCUCCUGGAAUAUGUGUGUGCAUAAUGUGCUAUACAGAAACUUAGACAAGUUUUAUAUAUACAUAUGUUUGUAUGUAUGUUCCCUUUCUGCAAAGAGUGAUGUUGUAAUAGAUUGCUUUAAAAAAUUAAAUUAAUCUGCAGAUUUUUUCUUUGGUCUUGGUGGAGUGUGAAAACCCAAAUUGAGUUUGGUUCAUUAUGAACAAAAUAGUCUAACAAAUUAUGUAUCUUCAAGACAAAUCUGGAAUGCUUAUUUUGUUUGCUACUAGCGCCUCAUUUUAAAUCAGAUAAAUUUGAGUGAAUGUGUACAAAAGAGACAAAUUUGUGGGCCUUUUAAUUAUUAAUAAAAAUUAGUGACA